GACGAACGCUGGCGGCGUGCUUAACACAUGCAAGUCGAGCGGUAAGGCCCUUCGGGGUACACGAGCGGCGAACGGGUGAGUAACACGUGGGUGACCUGCCUCUAGCUCUGGGAUAAGCCUGGGAAACUGGGUCUAAUACCGGAUAUGACUCCACGGCGCAUGUUGUGGGGUGGAAAGCCUUGUGCGGCUAGAGAUGGGCCCGCGGCCUAUCAGCUUGUUGGUGGGGUGANGGCCUACCAAGGCGACGACGGGUAGCCGGCCUGAGAGGGCGACCGGCCACACUGGGACUGAGACACGGCCCAGACUCCUACGGGAGGCAGCAGUGGGGAAUCUUGCGCAAUGGGCGAAAGCCUGACGCAGCGACGCCGCGUGAGGGAUGGA
Molecule: ribosomal RNA, 381 nt
Filed under: uncultured bacterium
Lineage: Bacteria
Description: bacterial SSU rRNA
Rfam family: Bacterial small subunit ribosomal RNA
Source: RNAcentral